UACCAAUCUCAAUUUAAUAAUUUCACUCCAAACUUAGGUGCUUAAUAUUAUUGGUUACUUAUAGAGAACUCUUCACUUUUUGAUCGUUACGUUGGAGCUAGGAAGAUGACUAAAAUAGGGUACUAUUAUCAUAUCUCAAACACGUCAAUACAACAUAUGAAAGGAAAAGAUUACAAAGCAUCAAGACAAACAAAGACAUGAUAAUAUCAGCUUAGAUAGCCGUGUUUUAUUUUACUUAUGAUAUACGAAACCAUAUUCUUCAUCAGGCAAAUGAUGAGGUAAGCUUCCAUUUCACUUGAUGCUGAAACAAUACAGANN
Molecule: long non-coding RNA, 318 nt
Filed under: Capsella grandiflora
Lineage: Eukaryota; Viridiplantae; Streptophyta; Magnoliopsida; Brassicales; Brassicaceae
Description: long non-coding RNA (CGRA_LNC000224)
Source: RNAcentral